RNAcentral lists this unclassified non-coding RNA (322 nucleotides) under uncultured fungus. RNAcentral's name for it is "partial contains 5.8S ribosomal RNA and internal transcribed spacer 2". The stretch from base 1 to 133 matches the Rfam family "5.8S ribosomal RNA", at positions 22 to 154 of the family's 154-position model. The record is from RNAcentral. Lineage: Eukaryota; Fungi.
UGGUUCUGGCAUCGAUGAAGAACGCAGCGAAAUGCGAUAAGUAGUGUGAAUUGCAGAAUUCAGUGAAUCAUCGAAUCUUUGAACGCACAUUGCGCCCUUUGGUAUUCCGAAGGGCAUGCCUGUUCGAGCGUCAUUAUACACCAUCAAGCCUGGCUUGGUGUUGGGUGGUUGUCGUGCCGUGUGUAUCGACUCGCCUCAAAUUCAUCGGCGGCCCGUCGUAGGCUUGCAGCACAGUAGACUGGUAGCUGUUUGGCCAUGCCACGCGCCCGCCGCAAUGCGUCUUUCUAUACUCGACCUCGGAUCAGGUAGGGAUACCCGCUGA